GAUCCUGGCUCAGGAUGAACGCUGGCGGCGUGCUUAACACAUGCAAGUCGAACGAGAAAUGAAGAUGGAAACCUUCGGGCGGAAGCCUUCAUUUCGAGUGGCGGACGGGUGAGUAACGCGUGGGUAACCUGCCUCAUACAGGGGGAUAACAGUUGGAAACGACUGUUAAUACCGCAUAAGACCACAGCACCGCAUGGUGCAGGGGUAAAAACUCCGGUGGUAUGAGAUGGACCCGCGUUCGGUUAGCCAGUUGGCGGGG
RNAcentral lists this ribosomal RNA (259 nucleotides) under uncultured bacterium. Its description in RNAcentral is "partial 16S ribosomal RNA". It matches the Rfam family "Bacterial small subunit ribosomal RNA", at positions 15 to 257 of the family's 1533-position model. The record is from RNAcentral.